This is a long non-coding RNA of Oncorhynchus tshawytscha (Chinook salmon), 2363 nucleotides long. RefSeq lists it as uncharacterized. NCBI's taxonomy places the organism in Eukaryota, Metazoa, Chordata, Actinopteri, Salmoniformes, Salmonidae. The record is from RefSeq and is a predicted model, not a curated record. The transcript has 3 exons.
GUAAUGAACCAAAGCGUCCGUUGCUAUGCUGGUUCCUUGGCUCUAUUUUACCUCGUAUUGGUCGCAAAGGAAGGAGGAUGCAGGCAGUUCUAGUUCUAUUUCACAACAAAAUCGCUCGCUCAGUCCGCGCAAAAUUAUUACCUCAGAAUUUCUCUCCAAGGACGGUGUUUUUAACGAUGACAACCUGCUGACUACCUGCUGCUUCAGAGGACCGAAAAGACUGGAAAGAGAACACUUUCUUUACCGUAUAUUUGUCAUUAUACAAGUACAAAUAGGAAUAAAUCAUUUAAGAUGUUUUUAGAUUGACGUUACUGUAUUUAUAUACCUCAGCCUGCCUAGUCAGCUAGCCAGCUACAGUAACCAGCUGGCUAGCCUGACAGUUUUAUUUAGCUAACGUUAGCUAGCUAGCAAGCAAGCUACUGUAACUGUUAAUUGCAGCUUUCUGUUUGUAUGUAACGUUAGCUUGCACUUUAAUGGCAUCCCUCGAGGAGAUUUUCUUUUAUCUUUCUAACCAGGAGAAGUACUAUGAUGACACCACUGAUCUCGACAAGAGGCGCAACAUUCAGAGAAAUUCACAAUUCAGAGUAACUUUAAACAGUUAACUUCUAUUAGAUAACUGGACGGAUUUAGCUAUGUACAACCAUUUUUCAACAACCAUUUUCAAUCUAACGUUCGCUAAUUACUAACUAUACAUUUAGUUCAGUGGAGCAGAGGCUGCUGAGGAGAGGAUGGCUCAUAAUAUGGAUUAAAUGGAAUGGUAUCAAACGCGUGGUCUCCAUGUGGUUGAUGCCAUACAAUUGACUCCAUUCCAGACAUUAUUAUGAGCUGCCCUCCACUCAGCAGCCUCCACUGAUAUAGUUAUAUGUCUGUCAUAUUGCGGUAUCUAGCUAUAAAUUAAACCUGAUCAAUCAAAUGGAUGGGUGUAAGCAAUUAUGGUAAUUACAACUGUCCUUAACUAGGUGUCUUUGCUAGACAGACACAGGGAGGAUGAAAGUGAGAGACAGACAGACAGACACAGAGCAAACAACAGCAGUGCAAAUGUACUUAGACUUGAGUAUUUCAACAACUCUUCUUCCAACAAAAAUCACAUCUACCUACGGGGAAAGGAUGGCCAGUCACACAAGAGGGUGAUUUUUACUAAGGAGGAGAAGGAGGCCAUGCUGACUGAGAUGCAUGCUGGCCAUUUCAGAGGGAAGCGCAUGAUUGCCAAAAUCAACCUAUGCUUCUUCUGACGAGGAAUUGUCAAGGAUGAGUACAGCUGGGAAAGUGAAAUAACCUUCUGUUUAUUAAUCACAUUCUAUUAUAUAUGAAAUAUUAUGAUUUCAAUGAAUGUCAUAUUAGAGAGCACACAAUGUUUCAAUUGGUCACUUUUUGCAUAAAGUUCAGUACCCUGUCUAGCCUGCCAGAAGUUUGAGAGGGUGAAGACUGUGGCGCCGGAGUUGAAGCUAAUCAAAGUUGUUUCACCAUGGCACAUGAUCUGAUGAGACUAACAAGGCCGCCUUCAAGACGAUGGUGGACAUCUUCAACACCUGCCCCCCAGGAGGUAUCCCAUCCACCAGAACCAGUGAGUUCAGGUCAGUCGGUGGGGGACCAGCUUGAGGAACUAGGGGUUCUGCCCAACACCCAGACGUGGAUCCAACUGAUGUCAUCCAUUACCAACCACCCUCCAACUUUUCAUUACUUAAUCUACAUCUACUGUUGUUGUCAUUAUCUGCUAAGAAAGUUUUCUUGCUCUCAUACCAGGCACAUAAUAUGUGAGAUUACUAAAAACACUGCACUGCAAACACUCAAAACAAAGAGAGCAGCAGUGCCUGGACUUUGCAGUCUCUCUCUUUAAGCCCCCCUUCUGAGACUGGCUAUCAAAGUUCAUGUAUUACAAUCUUAAAUAUUGCCAGGUUGGUUUUCACAGCUGUUUCACAAGGUGUUCAUUAUUGUAAGUUAUCUUUUGUUUGUAUUUAUUUGCUCCACAUUAUUCAUUGUUGUAUCCAAGGACCUACAAUAGAUACAUAUAUAUUCAACCACAAGUGUGUACUGAUGAGCUAUGCGAGAUAGGAAAAAAAAAUUCAUAAAAGGACUACUGAAAUUAGAUUACAAUAGAUACAUAUAUAAGACAAGGUGACCGGAAACAUGACCGAAUACAAACAGUGCUAUAUAGCUAUUCCCUCCGCAAGGCAAUUAAACAAGCUAAGCGUCAGCAUAGAGACAAAGUAGAGUCGCAAUUCAACGGCUUAGACACGAGAGGUAUGCGGCAUGGUCUAUAGUCAAUCAUGGACUACAAAAAGAAAACCAACCCCGUCGCGGACCACGAUGUCUUGCUCCCAGACAAACGAAACAACUUCUUUCCUCGCUUUGAGGACAAUACA